UAUGUCUAACCUUGGAGAUUUUCAAGUGUUAGCCUGUCUGAUAUAAUUUUAAUUUUGUGAUUUGUAUAAAGAAUUAUAAAGAUGGUACGCAAAGCUACUUAAGUCUCUGGUAUUUUGCUACCGAGUAGGUCUUACUAGUCUAAAUGCAUCAGAAAGAUUCAGAAAAGAAAGCUGAAAACAAUGUAAUCCAGUCAAAUUUGAGGUUGUUUGACUUACCAUGUGAAUCACAUUCAUCAAAGCAAGAAACAUCAAGUGCCUUUUGAUGAUGUGAAAAUAUAUGUAUUUUCAUUAAAAAACUAACUUGCUAUAUACAGGCAUUUAGAAUGUACUGCUUUUGUUUUCAAAAGAAAAGAAAUAUAUACAUCUUGAACAAGUGAGCCCCUUUACGAAAAUAUUUUGGUUCUGUGACUUUGUCUAUCUGGAAUUGUUUUUGAAAUCUCAUCCAUUACAUAGCUAAACUGUUACCUACAACUAGAAACUAGCGAAUAUAUUAACUUUUUUGUGGUGUCUGUAUUGACGUGUCAUCGACACAUUUUUGUUCCUCAGAAGUGUGAUUCCUUGUGAUGGCUAUUCAUUUGCAUUCUAAAAUAAUGGGCAGGACAAACAAAUUGUAUCUGCCCGUGAAGGGUAUAAUCAUUUGGUAUUGGCAUGUAUCAGAUCUUUUUUUAAUUGACACUGGAGAGGCUAGCAGUUACCAAAAAUGCGAGAAGAGGCGACGAGGCCUGAAAGGCGUCGCCUUUUUUAACAAAAAAGAAAAGAGGCUGAAUUAAAACAUAAAACGCAGAGUUAGGGUUUUACGAUGCUUAUCUCUUUCUAGAAUUGGAAAAUGUUGAAGAAGAAUUAGAAUAGACUUUUAGUAUUGCUUGUCUUAUGAAUUAUUGAGUCAUUAAAGUUCUAGACUUUUAGUAUCUACUAUCUACUUUUAAUGUUUGAAUUGAAAUAUUUGCUAAUAUGUUAUUGCUAUUGAGAUUUUGAUUAUUUAUAUGUGCAAUUAAAUAUUUUAAUUUUUUGGUAUUAAUUGGCCCAUCACUUCAAAAAGGAGUGCGCCUCGCCUCUCAAAAAGGCGAGGCAGGUCCUUGUCGCCUUUUGUCGCCGCCCGCCUUCCAAAACACGGUGUAUCAGAUUAAAUCACCAAUUAGCGCAGAAGGAUCCAUCUAUUGUGCUAUUUGGAGGAUAGUGAAAUGAUAUCUUGGUCCUUGAACUAUCUUAGGAUUUCCUUUGCAUUUGAGAAAGAAAGAGAAGGAAAAUCAAGGAAUAGGAGCAAAAAUAGAGUUAAGAAUGCGAUGAAACGACAUAUGCCCCAGGACCUUGGUCUAGUGGUAAGAGUGUAGUGCAUGAUGUGCGAGUUAGGCGCACGAUACGGGCUCGAACCCUAUAGAUAAAAGCUUGGUAUUUUCUUUUAUAAAGACAAAAGCUUGGUAUUAAGUGGAGAAGAAUAGAGGAGCAGGCCCAUUAUCCACGGAGUUCCUAGAUGUGCUCCAUUGGCUCUCGAGGAUUAACCAAAAAAAAAUGCAAAGAAAGCAAGAAUUUCUGUCAUAUAUAGGUCAAUGAUAGAUAUUAGAUGAUACAAUGAGUUAAAUUCUGAGCAUCUAGUUAAAGAAAAUUUGCUUUGCAUUCCUCAUAUGUAAGAUGACCUUUGGCCUUGUGCUUUUUUCUGUUUGUCUGGUCAUUAAGUUAAUUUUUUAUAAACAGUGAUAAAAAGAUUGACGUUGGGAUUUAUUUGAAGUAUGUUUUCUCUCAACAUUUCUCCCCUAAAGUUAGCUUAACUGGGUUGGUAUGAUUCUAGCUUGGAAAACACAAUUGGUGAAUAUGCCAAAAAUCAAGUAGAAUGAACUGGAAAUGUUAAUUCGGCUCAGUCUUUAUUUAAAACAGAGGAAACAAAGUUUAUGUAGUUCUGCUUUCAGUUUCUGGAUCUUACAUUUUGGAGAGACCGAAAACAUCUACACACACACAUUUUAAAAUAUCCUUACAGAUCUGAGUACUUCCUACCGCUGAAUUUCUCAUCUUCCCCACUCGCUGCCGAACUCCAACCCGUCCUCUUGCUAUCCCACUCUCUCUAGUACAUGAAAACCCUAAGUUAACACAGCAUAGGAACUGGCUUGUUAUGAGUUUUAUGACACAUCAUGACAAAUGUCGCUCUCAGAUUUACAGUGCCUGCUAGAGUGAUUCAGUCUCCUUUUAUAAGGUAUGUAUUUGAUGCGGGUGUAUAAGCAUCCAGUACAUGCUUAUUUCUUGUGGCUAAGGUAUUUUUUGAAAGAUCCACACAAAAUAUCCACACCCACGUCACAUUGAGAUAACAACAGAGACCUAGGAACAAUAGUCUGUUUUUGUUUGAAAUUAUUAUCUUUAUAUCCGAUAACAUCAGAUAAAAUGUUUUCCUACUAGUAGUAGUUUGUGAUAAAACUUAGAACUCAUAUCAACUGGUGAUGAAGUUGCCGUCCUUGAAUUAGCUGUUAUUUUUCAAGACUUGUGUAUUUGCACAUAUUCCUAUUUGCAUUUUAUAUUUAGAUACCUACAUGCACUAGAAGUAGGAAUAAAUGCAUAAGAACCCCUUAUCUUUUUCAAUCUGUAGCCCAUAAUUUCCUUCACCGGAUGCAUCAGGAGGAGGUUGAAUGCAUAAAAUCGGCUUGUGUUUUCAUUAUAUAGACUUUUAACUGUUAAUUUCCUUCAGCGUUUGAAAUAUACACCUGGUUUACUUAAAACAGUUACCAAGGUGAAAUGGUUUAUCAUUCAAGAAAAAAGAAUAUAAUAGAAGUGAAAGAUCCAUAUAGGCUAUAGCAACCAGUUGGGGUUAAGGUUUAUCAUUCAUGUUUGCUAGUAGUUUUUGUAGUUUGUUUGGAGAUCUUUAAGUCAGUAGAAUGAGUCGUCUCAUGGGAAUUCAUAUAGUUGAGUGCAAUUUGCUUGGGAUUAAGGCGUACUUGUUUCUCUAAAGUAUGUUUUCAAGAAACUA
Molecule: long non-coding RNA, 2950 nt
Organism: Lycium ferocissimum
Lineage: Eukaryota; Viridiplantae; Streptophyta; Magnoliopsida; Solanales; Solanaceae
Exons: 2
Source: RefSeq, a predicted model, not a curated record